GAGGGUAUAGCUCAGGGGUACAGCGUGUUUUUAGCAUACACAAGGUUCUGGGUUCAAUCCCCAUUACUUCCA
RNAcentral lists this transfer RNA (72 nucleotides) under Camelus bactrianus (Bactrian camel). It matches the Rfam family "tRNA". From Rfam's summary of the family: Transfer RNA (tRNA) molecules are approximately 80 nucleotides in length. Their secondary structure includes four short double-helical elements and three loops (D, anti-codon, and T loops). Lineage: Eukaryota; Metazoa; Chordata; Mammalia; Artiodactyla; Camelidae. The record is from Rfam by way of RNAcentral. RNAcentral also lists the same sequence under 1 other name.